UACGGGGGGGGCAAGCGUUGUUCGGAAUUACUGGGCGUAAAGGGCUCGUAGGCGGCCAACUAAGUCAGACGUGAAAUCCCUCGGCUUAACCGGGGAACUGCGUCUGAUACUGGAUGGCUUGAGUUUGGGAGAGGGAUGCGGAAUUCCAGGUGUAGCGGUGAAAUGCGUAGAUAUCUGGAGGAACACCGGUGGCGAAGGCGGCAUCCUGGACCAAUAUUGACGCUGAGGAGCGAAAGCUAGGGGAGCAAACGGG
Molecule: ribosomal RNA, 253 nt
Filed under: uncultured bacterium
Lineage: Bacteria
Description: partial 16S ribosomal RNA
Rfam family: Bacterial small subunit ribosomal RNA
Source: RNAcentral